Molecule: ribosomal RNA, 253 nt
Filed under: uncultured bacterium
Lineage: Bacteria
Description: partial 16S ribosomal RNA
Rfam family: Bacterial small subunit ribosomal RNA
Source: RNAcentral
UGCGGAGGGAGCAAGCGUUAUCCGGAAUCACUGGGUUUAAAGGGUGCGUAGGCGGCUUGAUAAGUCAUGGGUGAAAGCCCGCAGCUUAACUGCGGAACUGCCUUUGAUACUGUCGAGCUUGAAAGAGGUUGAGGUCAGCGGAACGUGACAGGUAGCGGUGAAAUGCAUAGAUAUGUCACAGAACACCGAUUGCGAAGUCAGCUGGCUGGACCUACUUUGACGCUGAGGCACGAAAGCGUGGGGAGCGAACAGG